This 750-nucleotide ribosomal RNA is filed under the name uncultured Chloroflexota bacterium. RNAcentral describes it as "bacterial SSU rRNA". It matches the Rfam family "Bacterial small subunit ribosomal RNA", at positions 551 to 1317 of the family's 1533-position model. The record is from RNAcentral. Lineage: Bacteria; Bacillati; Chloroflexota.
UUACUGGGCGUAAAGCGCGUGCAGGUGGGUGUUUAAGUCACUUAUGAAAGCUCCCGGCUAAACUGGGAGAGGCUGAGUGAAACUGGAUGCCUAGAGUAGAGGAGAGGUAGACGGAAUUCCGCGUGUAGUGGUGAAAUGCGUAGAGAUGCGGAAGAACACCAGUGGCGAAGGCGGUCUACUGGCCUCUAACUGACACUCAGACGCGAAAGCAUGGGUAGCGAACGGGAUUAGAAACCCCGGUAGUCCAUGCCGUAAACGAUGCACACUAGACGUUCGCAGUCAUUGGCUGUGAGUGUCGAAGCCAACGCGAUAAGUGUGCCGCCUGGGGAGUACGGUCGCAAGGCUAAAACUCAAAGGAAUUGACGGGGGCCCGCACAAGCAGCGGAGCGUGUGGUUUAAUUCGAGGAUACGCGAAGAACCUUACCUGGGUUUGACAUGAUGGUGGUAGCUUACAGAGAUGUGAGUGACCUUCGGGAGCCAUGACAGGUGCUGCAUGGUUGUCGUCAGCUCGUGCCGUGAGGUGUUCGGUUAAGUCCGCAAACGAGCGCAACCCUCGGCGUUAGUUACAAGUGUCUAGCGCAACUGCCCGUGGCAAACGGGAGGAAGGUGGGGAUGACGUCAAAUCAGCAUGGCCUUUAUAUCCAGGGCUACACACACGCUACAAUGGCGCAUACAAUGGGUCGCGAAGCCGCGAGGUGGAGCCAAUCCUGAAAGUGCGUCUCAGUUCGGAUUGCAGGCUGCAACUCGCCU